GAUGAACGCUGGCGGCGUGCCUAAUACGUGCAAGUCGAGCGAACAGACGAGGAGCUUGCUCCUCUGACGUUAGCGGCGGACGGGUGAGUAACACGUGGAUAACCUACCUAUAAGACUGGGAUAACUUCGGGAAACCGGAGCUAAUACCGGAUAAUAUAUUGAACCGCAUGGUUCAAUAGUGAAAGACGGUUUUGCUGUCACUUAUAGAUGGAUCCGCGCCGCAUUAGCUAGUUGGUAAGGUAACGGCUUACCAAGGCGACGAUGCGUAGCCGACCUGGGAGGGUGAUCGGCCACACUGGAACUGAGACACGGUCCAGACUCCUACGGGAGGCAGCAGUAGGGAAUCUUCCGCAAUGGGCGAAAGCCUGACGGAGCAACGCCGCGUGAGUGAUGAAGGUCUUCGGAUCGUAAAACUCUGUUAUUAGGGAAGAACAAAUGUGUAAGUAACUAUGCACGUCUUGACGGUACCUAAUCAGAAGGCCACGGCUAACUACGUG
RNAcentral lists this ribosomal RNA (497 nucleotides) under uncultured bacterium. RNAcentral's name for it is "partial 16S ribosomal RNA". It matches the Rfam family "Bacterial small subunit ribosomal RNA", at positions 28 to 507 of the family's 1533-position model. The record is from RNAcentral.